RNAcentral lists this long non-coding RNA (3410 nucleotides) under Daucus carota (carrot). RNAcentral's name for it is "long non-coding RNA (DCAR_LNC005261)". Lineage: Eukaryota; Viridiplantae; Streptophyta; Magnoliopsida; Apiales; Apiaceae. The record is from RNAcentral.
UACAUAAUUUUCAAUCCCGAAUAUGUUUUUUUUUACUAAUAUGACCCAUAACCUUAUAAUUUGAUCAUCUAUUCUAAGAUAUUUUCGAGAUAAGCCAGAAUAGAGGUCAACAUAGGAUAAACCCAACCUCUUGAGUUAUCCAAUCGUAAAUAUAUAAAAAUCACAUAAAUCUUCACGAAGUUGUAGACAUGGACUUGUAAAUCUCCUGAACAAGCCGUUUAUCAAACUCCGACGCGGCAUGUGCUUUCGGCGUUCUCUUGUCGCCGAAAGCCGUAGCUCCAUUCCCACCCAGACUAAUCAUCAUGUUAUAGUACCCAUCCUUCAUUUUCCUCCACAGCUUAAACGACGACGUUUGAUCACCCUUGGAGCCUUCGUGAUUCUUGUUGGCGUCUCCGAAUCGGACGCUCUUGAUGUGCUUUCGCGUGGGUGUUGAACCGCCGCUGGUUGAGCCGGAGGUGUCGUAGUAGUUGCCGUUGUAGCCGCUUCGUUUUGAUCCCCGCAAGCUAUCUCGCACGGAGGUUGAUGAGAAGCGCUCCAUUUUGGUUGUUUGUGUUGUGUUCAGAUUGGGGGGAGCGUGAAUAUAUAGGGAUGAAAUGAAAAUAUGUCGACUGUAUGAUUGUGGGGGAAGAAGUCAAAAUAAGCGGUUUGGCACUUUAAUUGAAGAGGCUUUUGGAGAAAAGUCGGAUCAAGGAAGGACAAAUUUUUGUGUAUAGUUGGCCGCUUGGCUUUGGCGUGCGUGGAGCACCUCUUCGCGACAUAUUUUUUUCGAAAACACUUCAUUCAUGUAUAUAAAUGGUUAUAAAAUUUCACCAAAUAAAAUAUAUCAUAUUUGGAUAAUAUUAUGUAGGGUCCUGUUCUCUGACAACUGUGUGUCAGGAACAUUCAACCAACACAAAAAAAAAAUUAAAUAAUCCGCGAUUUUUUUACGUGGAAUGACUGGACUAUACUUGCUUUCCGCGGUUAUUUUACGCGGUACGGGUCUCUGGAUCCGCUGAAAAGAAACACGGACGUACAAAUGAACCCUACUCCUCAGACUCUCCUUCACCUCAUCCUCACAGACGUCUCUCUUCCGGUCUCUCUCUCAGAAUGGACUCAACUGUAACCCCAAGAAGGCUUUGUUUCAUUGAAGAAGACGAUAGUCUUGCUUUUCUUAUUGACAUGGAAGCUGGUUUUUCUGGAUCUCAUAACCAAAACAACAACCAAAUCAACCAUAACCAACACAACCACUUCAUCUCAAGGCAUGUGUAUUACUCAAGAAAAGCACUUGGUGAUAACAAAGACUUCAUGUAUAGGUUUGUAAUCAAAGUUUCAAUCCCUUAAAUUUGGGGUCGCUCAAAACAGUGAAAAGAUGAUAAAUCAAUGGUUGAAUAUAUAGAAAACUGUUUUCUUAAUUUAAAUUGAUUGUGCUGAGUGAUAAUAUCCGUCCAUCCGCGUUUCUUUUCGGCGCAUCUAGAGACCCGUACCGUGUAAAAUAAACGCGGAAGCAAGCCCAGCUCAGUCAAUCCGCGUAAAAGAACAGCAGAUCGAUUAAAUUUUUGGCUGGGAAGCAGUGUGUUGAUUAAAUGUUUCCUAACACACAGUUGUCAGGGAACAGUACCCUAUUAUGUAUCUCAAUAUUUGUUUUCAAAUUUUUUUCAAAAUAACGCUGUAUUAAAUUUUUUUUCUCAAAUGACGUGACAAGCAUGUGAUUAAAUUUAAUUGGAUGAUUGAUGUGUAUAUAGAAGUCCCACUAUUAAUAACCCCUAUUAUUAUUAAUAUGAGAUAGAUCUAUAAUACAUUUCCAGUUAGAUUGGAAGAAAUUUUGAGAAAAUCUUCUGAGAUUAACAUUUUCCAUCGUGUUUUAGUUAGGAUGGAGCUCUCAUGUGAAUAACACUGAAUGACAUAUAUCCUUUUAAUUAUUAGUAGGUUAUUUAUAUAAAAUAUUAUAAAUGAUUUUCUACAUGUGACAUUAGUCUAUUUUAUACUUAAAACAAUAUAUAUAUAUAGACACACACAUCGGUUUGCUUGAUUGGUUGAUCGAGAAUCUGACAUUGUUAUUUUUAAAAAAUACGAAAUUUUUUCAGUCCUAUCUACUCCAUUUUAAUAAUAAUAAUCUAUACUAUACUAUAAUAAGCCAACAUGAGUAUAAUUUGUAGUCCAAGGUUUUAGUUAUAUUUUUUGGUUUGGUACUGUCCUUUUGGUACUAUAACUCUACAAAUGUGGAGUCUAAAAACACUCAUAACAAUCCAUUAUCAUAUAAUAAUUAAACAGUUUCAAAUACUGAAAACACUGAUAAAAAUACAUUAUAUAAUAUUUCAUCAAAAAAAUUAUAAUGAUGUUAUAAAUAAAAUUAUAAAUAUACAAUUUUGAAUAUUUUUUUAACAACCUUCAUAUAACUCUUUUUAACUUUAACGUAUUAUAUUUCAAGAUAAACAGGAAUCAUUACAUAACCAUUUCUAACUCUAAUCUUAAAAGUUAUUGUUGUCAAAAAAACCAAGAUUACAAAAUUAUGUUGAAAUUCGAUUGAUUAGAUUACUGAAUCUUUCAAAAGUAUUACACGAUCGGUUAUGUUUGGAAAAGAUUUGAAUUUUCUGAUUUUUUUAUUUUUAAAUCUACGUGUACUAAAUUUGGAUAAAAUGUACUAAUAUCCUGAUAUGAAAAUAUAGUCAGUUGAAUAAUAUAAUUUAAUUAAAACUCAAUCCAUUAAUACUAAAAUAUUAAUAAAAUGAUGUUAAAUUUUAAAAUAUAAAUAAUAAAUUACGACUAUAUAUCCGCCCGUGCUUCGCACGGGUUAAAGGCCAGUACUCUUGAAAACACCAAGUCUAUUAAUUUUACAAGAAGGAAUCGAUUCAUCAAAAUUAUGUAUCGACUUGUUAAAGAAAUAAUAUUUAAACCAAAUUGUUAGCGAAACUAAUCACCAUAUCUGAAUUUAGGUUGGGAGGGCUUCGAGGUGCUGUCAACAUAUUCUUAAUUAUGAAAUUAAUGACCGGAUAUCUUUAUUAUAUUUAUAUAAAGGAGGUUCUUGGGGUGGAUGACGUGGCAGCUCCCAAAAUCCUUCCUCUAAUAUUCCUGUUUUCCUAGCAAUUGUCUGAUAUUUUUGAUUUUUUAUUGAUUUUUUUAUUUAUUCACUAUUUUUAUAGCUUAUUAAUUAUUAUCAGAUACGAGCUUUUGGUUUUCUAUUUCGCGUGUCCUUUUGUUGUUCGGAUCUCGAGUGGCUUCUCUUCCAGGCUCUCAGUGUGUGCAAUUCUAUAUACCAUCUCUCUCGCUCUCUACAUUUUUUAAUUCGAUCUAAUUUUGUUUGCUCCUUUAUUUGAAUCUUAGGCUUUUAUUUAGGUGAUAAGUCAGCGUUAUCCCAGCAGAAUUUACAAGCCGGUGGAAUGAAUCAUGGUGAAGAAACCUCCCGUAUUCAGUGUAUUACUCUCUCCCUCCCU